GUGCUCUCUUUGGAAGCACAUAUACUAAAAUGGGAACAAUAAAGAAAGAUUAGCAUGGCCCUGUGCAAGGAUGACAUGCAAACUAGUGAAGCGCUCCUUACCUUU
Molecule: small nuclear RNA, 105 nt
Filed under: Castor canadensis (American beaver)
Lineage: Eukaryota; Metazoa; Chordata; Mammalia; Rodentia; Castoridae
Source: RNAcentral